This 301-nucleotide ribosomal RNA is filed under the name uncultured bacterium. Its description in RNAcentral is "partial 16S ribosomal RNA". It matches the Rfam family "Bacterial small subunit ribosomal RNA", at positions 509 to 807 of the family's 1533-position model. The record is from RNAcentral.
CAGUAGCCACGGUAAAACGUAGGUGGCAAGCGUUGUCCGGAAUUAUUGGGCGUAAAGGGCUCGCAGGCGGUCUCUUAAGUCUGAUGUGAAAGCCCCCGGCUCAACCGGGGAGAGUCAUUGGAAACUGGGAAACUUGAGUGCAGAAGAGGAGAGUGGAAUUCCACGUGUAGCGGUGAAAUGCGUAGAGAUGUGGAGGAACACCCGUGGCGAAGGCGACUCUCUGGUCUGUAACUGACGCUGAGGAGCGAAAGCGUGGGGAGCGAACAGGAUUAGAUACCCGCGUAGUCCCUGUCUCUUAUAC